RNAcentral lists this ribosomal RNA (258 nucleotides) under uncultured bacterium. Its description in RNAcentral is "partial 16S ribosomal RNA". It matches the Rfam family "Bacterial small subunit ribosomal RNA", at positions 96 to 354 of the family's 1533-position model. The record is from RNAcentral.
UGGCGGACGGGUGAGUAACGCGUGGGCAACCUGCCUUACACAGGGGGAUAACACUUAGAAAUAGGUGCUAAAACCGCAUAAGCGCACAGCCUCGCAUGAAGCGGUGUGAAAAACUCCGGUGGUGUAAGAUGGACCCGCGUCUGAUUAGCUUGUUGGCGGGGUAACGGCCCACCAAGGCGACGAUCAGUAGCCGGCCUGAGAGGGCGGACGGCCACAUUGGGACUGAGACACGGCCCAGACUCCUACGGGAGGCAGCAG